GGGUCAGUAGGUUGGUCGUGCCACCGGUACGUACUGGUCUCACUGAUUCCUCCUUCCUGAAGAACCGUAAUGCCAUUAAUUUGGUGUUGCGGGGAAACAGGACUGUUACUUUGAAAAAAUUAGAGUGUUUCAAGCAAGCUAACGCUUGAAUACAUUAGCAUGGAGUAAUGAAAUAGGACGAUCGAUCCUAUUUUGUUGGUUUCUAGGAUUGACGUA
Molecule: ribosomal RNA, 216 nt
Filed under: Glomeromycotina sp.
Lineage: Eukaryota; Fungi; Glomeromycota
Description: partial small subunit ribosomal RNA
Rfam family: Eukaryotic small subunit ribosomal RNA (bases 40-216)
Source: RNAcentral